Molecule: long non-coding RNA, 2427 nt
Filed under: Homo sapiens (human)
Lineage: Eukaryota; Metazoa; Chordata; Mammalia; Primates; Hominidae
Description: HSALNT0252293
Source: RNAcentral
AAGCAAACUAAGCCACCCGAAUAAGUGGACCAUGGGGAUAUAGAGGCAGAAAACUCCCGGCCCCAUCCCCAGGCCUCCAGAGAAUUUGACACUCAAGCCACGGUGGAGAGGUUUUCUGUUAUGAGUUUAGCAUUUCUAAGAAAGAGGAGACCACAGGCUUUCCCUGUAGUCCAUUUCAAGAGUCUGAUAGCUCUCACUGGAAAUCUUCACUUCCUUUGAACUUGUACCUUCCUGCUGUGCCUCAGGCCUCUCCCUCUUCUGAGAGUUCUUGUCUCCAUGUCUGAUCCCUGUGAAAGUGCAGGCAUUUAAGGAGGAGGUCUGGGCCCCCUUCACGGUGGUGUCCACACCUCUCCCAGGGGGAUGUGCUCGGUAAGUGUGCAUGCAGCACCAUCUCAGCCCUGUGCAUCCUGGACCGCACCAACAAACAGCACCACACAGCUUGGGGACCAUGUCCAGAUUCACACGCAGACGAUAAGCACCGUGGCCAAUACCCAAGCGUUAGAUAAUUAAAGGUCCCUCCAAGGAUAAACACAAGUAAGAGUGGAAGCAAAGGAAGUGCACACGCUUGUCUCAAGAAAGACAGGGCAUGUAGCCUUUUCCCUAGGAUCUCUCAUCAUCUUCGCUUCUCUUUCUCACAUCAAAUGAUGCCAAUUCUUUAACUUUCCUAGGUUCCAUUUCCCAAUGCUUUCAUCAGUUUCACUGUCUUCUGCGAGGCUGAAUUUCCCUAAUUAAGGGCAGUGGGAGACGCUCCACAUUUGGAGUCCCUGUGAGGCAGCAAAGAUGGAGAGCUGAGACUGACCAUCCAGAAUCCAGGUGUGCCUUCGCCACACAGAACAACAAGCAUCGUUGAUGCCUCUAGAGCACAGUGGAGGAGAGAACUGGAGAAGAGGCACGGAGACCGCCAAGCGUUCCAGGUGCAGGCGGCAGGAGGGAGCCCAGGAUGCCGGCAGAGCGAGCCUUGGUCUGUGAACCCCAGGGCCGAUGGGCACCGGCUCAUCUAAUUCAUUUGUGUACAGAUCCACAAAACUGCACCUGGCUGUGGCCGUCAGUAAGUGCUAUAUAAAUGCUUCAUAAGUGUUUGUUGAAGGAAGUUGAAAUGUAGUCGUCAGAAGAGUGAGAGGGAAACCAGCGACAGAGCCUUGUAAGUCUAAGAAAAAGAAUUCAAAGAUGGUCAAGAGCUAACAUUGCACAGGGAAUUACAGUAUUUCCGGAAGACCAAGGGCAACUCUGAUUGUUCCAGACUGCCUGGGAGCACCAGAGUCUGAUUGUUCCAGACUGCCUGGGAGCACCAGAGUCUGAUUGUUCCAGACUGCCUGGGAGCACCAGAGGUCUGGGUGGGGGCAGGAGUCAGUCCACCUGGAACUUCUGCCUCCAGUGCACUGAGUCUGCACGGACCACCAGGGCUGACACUGCCUUACUUAAUAUGGGGGUGGGGGAAGUCCCUGCGAUAUAUAAUGGUCUCAAUUUAAAUUCUGUGCUGUUUUUAUUUUAGCUGUGUAAUUUGGAAACUUCAAAUAAAAAGCCUGAAAGGAAAGUUGGACUAUUUAAGCUUACACAGACUCUAUUAAUGCUAUAUGGUUAUUCUACCCCUGACUUUGGAAGAAGGAGAAACUGGCAUGGGAAUACACUUUUCUAAAAAAAAUACUAUUUAAAAAUAUGAAAGUUUAUUUAACAUCUAAGGAAAGGUACUUAAUUAGAGGGACACUCAACAAGAAGAAUUGAGGAUCUAAGUAAAUAGUCCCCAUCUGCUCCUGGUCCUACCACCUGGCGAUUACUUCCUCUUCUUCUCUGAUAGAUUUUAGCCAACCAAUUUUGUUUUAUUUGUGCAAGUUGAGAGGCCACCUGUUAUGGAAUAUACUUCCACAUUAAACAAAGUGAACAUUUCCUAUUUCUGUGCUUCCCAUAUGAUUUUUAAAACACAAAGCACUCACUUUCACCUUAAACAGAUUUAAGAAAUGCUGACUCUGAUGAACAGGUAUAAACAAGGCAAUCUUUUGUUUAUGAAAAUUGUUAACGACCUACCCACAGAAAGACAUGCCCUGCGCCACACUGUACCCCCCACCCCCGCCCACCCGGCUCCCCGAUGCUGGUGAAUUAAUCUAUCCACACGUUUUUGCUCAUUUCCCUGGCUGUUACCAGCUGAAGUGAAGAAAAGACAUUUUACAAGGGGACAUGGUAUAUUUGUGCUAAAACAGGCACCACACAAAUCCAGAGAAAGGAGCCAAAAGGAAAUACCAGGCAGAGGGAACAGCGUGGAUAAAGGCAAAGCUGAGAAGAGGUUCUGAAGGAUGGAAUCCCAGAUCAAGGAGCCAGCAGAUGUGGUGGUGUGGACCCACUUCCUGGUUCAUAGAGGACCUUCCCACUGUGCCCUCAUACAGUGAAGGGGUAAGAGAGCUCCGUGGGGUCUCUUUUAGAAGGGCACUAAAC